CCCUUAGAUGUUCUGGGCCGCACGCGCGCUACACUGACGAGGUCAGCGAGCAUGUCCUACGCCGACAGGUGCGGGGAAUCUUGUCAAACUUCGUCGUGAUGGGGAUUGAUUUUUGAAAUUCUUGAUCAUAAACGAGGAAUUCCUAGUAAGCGCAAGUCAGCAGCUUGCGUUGAUUACGUCCCUGCCCUUUGUACACACCGCCCGUCGCUACUACCGAUUGAAUGGUUUAGUGAGAUCUUCGGAUUGGCGCCACUGCAGCUCAGCAAUGGGCUUGGUGGAUGCCGAAAAGUUGAUCAAACUUGAUCAUUUAGAGGAAGUAAAAGUCGUAACA
RNAcentral lists this ribosomal RNA (331 nucleotides) under uncultured eukaryote. Its description in RNAcentral is "partial 18S ribosomal RNA". It matches the Rfam family "Eukaryotic small subunit ribosomal RNA", at positions 1470 to 1796 of the family's 1831-position model. The record is from RNAcentral.